GAGAUGAGUUCUCCCUGAGACCUUGAGUCUCCUGAAGGAACGUUGAAGACGACGACGUUGAUAGGUCGGGUGUGUAAGCGCAGCGAUGCGUUGAGCUAACCGAUACUAAUGAACCGUGAGGCUUAACCUU
This 130-nucleotide ribosomal RNA is filed under the name Enterobacter hormaechei. Its description in RNAcentral is "partial 23S ribosomal RNA". It matches the Rfam family "Bacterial large subunit ribosomal RNA", at positions 2801 to 2925 of the family's 2925-position model. Lineage: Bacteria; Pseudomonadati; Pseudomonadota; Gammaproteobacteria; Enterobacterales; Enterobacteriaceae. The record is from RNAcentral.